UACGUAGGUGGCAAGCGUUGUCCGGAUUUACUGGGCGUAAAGAGCGCGCAGGCGGACGUUCAAGUCGCGUGUGAAAGCCCCCGGCUCAACUGGGGAGGGUCACGCGAUACUGAUCGACUCGAAGGCAGGAGAGGGUAGUGGAAUUCCCGGUGUAGUGGUGAAAUUCGUAGAUAUUGGGAAGAACACCGGUGGCGAAGGCGGCGACCUGGUCCGAUACUGACGCUGAGGCGCGAAAGCGUGGGGAGCAAACAGG
RNAcentral lists this ribosomal RNA (253 nucleotides) under uncultured bacterium. RNAcentral's name for it is "partial 16S ribosomal RNA". It matches the Rfam family "Bacterial small subunit ribosomal RNA", at positions 524 to 776 of the family's 1533-position model. The record is from RNAcentral.